UAUUAAUCGAUAUUAAGUUUGGAGAGUACAGGCCUAUUGCCUAAAAACCAAAGAAUAUGGCGGUGUCUUAUUCUAUCAGGGGAACCUGUUCCUUAAUGCGAUAGUCCACGAUUAUUAAGCCUAAAUUUGAAACUAUCAGCUUGUGUACUGCCGAAUUAUAGACUUCUAUAGAAUUGUCUGUAAAGUUAUCUAAAAUGGAUAUAAAGUCAGGUCAAAGUGCAGCUUAUGUUUAGGUGGUAAUGGGUUACAUUUAUUUUGAGAUUCGAGUUAGUAUUUUUAAUAUAUUAACGAGGAGGAUUUGAAAGUAAUUUAAUUAAUUAUAGGUUAAAUGAAAUUUGAUUCUAAGAUGUGU
This 352-nucleotide ribosomal RNA is filed under the name Limnobdella mexicana. Its description in RNAcentral is "partial small subunit ribosomal RNA". The record is from RNAcentral. Lineage: Eukaryota; Metazoa; Annelida; Clitellata; Hirudinida; Hirudinidae.